UGUGUGUUAGUGGAAGCGUCUGGAAAGGCGCGCGAUACAGGGUGACAGCCCCGUACACAAAAAUGCACAUGCUGUGAGCUCGAUGAGUAGGGCGGGACACGUGGUAUCCUGUCUGAAUAUGGGGGGACCAUCCUCCAAGGCUAAAUACUCCUGACUGACCGAUAGUGAACCAGUACCGUGAGGGAAAGGCGAAAAGAACCCCGGCGAGGGGAGUGAAAAAGAACCUGAAACCGUGUACGUACAAGCAGUGGGAGCACGCUUCGGCGUGUGACUGCGUACCUUUUGUAUAAUGGGUCAGCGACUUAUAUUCUGUAGCAAGGUUAACCGAAUAGGGGAGCCGAAGGGAAACCGAGUCUUAACUGGGCGUUAAGUUGCAGGGUAUAGACCCGAAACCCGGUGAUCUAGCCAUGGGCAGGUUGAAGGUUGGGUAACACUAACUGGAGGACCGAACCGACUAAUGUUGAAAAAUUAGCGGAUGACUUGUGGCUGGGGGUGAAAGGCCAAUCAAACCGGGAGAUAGCUGGUUCUCCCCGAAAGCUAUUUAGGUAGCGCCUCGUGAAUUCAUCUCCGGGGGUAGAGCACUGUUUCGGCAAGGGGGUCAUCCCGACUUACCAACCCGAUGCAAACUGCGAAUACCGGAGAAUGUUAUCACGGGAGACACACGGCGGGUGCUAACGUCCGUCGUGAAGAGGGAAACAACCCAGACCGCCAGCUAAGGUCCCAAAGUCAUGGUUAAGUGGGAAACGAUGUGGGAAGGCCCAGACAGCCAGGAUGUUGGCUUAGAAGCAGCCAUCAUUUAAAGAAAGCGUAAUAGCUCACUGGUCGAGUCGGCCUGCGCGGAAGAUGUAACGGGGCUAAACCAUGCACCGAAGCUGCGGCAGCGACACUAUGUGUUGUUGGGUAGGGGAGCGUUCUGUAAGCCUGCGAAGGUGGCCUGUGAGGGUUGCUGGAGGUAUCAGAAGUGCGAAUGCUGACAUAAGUAACGAUAAAGCGGGUGAAAAGCCCGCUCGCCGGAAGACCAAGGGUUCCUGUCCAACGUUAAUCGGGGCAGGGUGAGUCGACCCCUAAGGCGAGGCCGAAAGGCGUAGUCGAUGGGAAACAGGUUAAUAUUCCUGUACUUGGUGUUACUGCGAAGGGGGGACGGAGAAGGCUAUGUUGGCCGGGCGACGGUUGUCCCGGUUUAAGCGUGUAGGCUGGUUUUCCAGGCAAAUCCGGAAAAUCAAGGCUGAGGCGUGAUGACGAGGCACUACGGUGCUGAAGCAACAAAUGCCCUGCUUCCAGGAAAAGCCUCUAAGCAUCAGGUAACAUCAAAUCGUACCCCAAACCGACACAGGUGGUCAGGUAGAGAAUACCAAGGCGCUUGAGAGAACUCGGGUGAAGGAACUAGGCAAAAUGGUGCCGUAACUUCGGGAGAAGG
RNAcentral lists this ribosomal RNA (1417 nucleotides) under Escherichia coli. RNAcentral's name for it is "partial 23S ribosomal RNA". It matches the Rfam family "Bacterial large subunit ribosomal RNA", at positions 323 to 1746 of the family's 2925-position model. The record is from RNAcentral. Lineage: Bacteria; Pseudomonadati; Pseudomonadota; Gammaproteobacteria; Enterobacterales; Enterobacteriaceae.